Molecule: long non-coding RNA, 1450 nt
Organism: Myodes glareolus (Bank vole)
Lineage: Eukaryota; Metazoa; Chordata; Mammalia; Rodentia; Cricetidae
Source: RefSeq, a predicted model, not a curated record
GUCAGAGCCUCGGUGCCUCCCUCCCUCCCAACCUCGAUGAAUGAAGCACAGAAAAUACAGUAGCUGCUACUGAGUUCCUCCAUCUUCCCCAGAGGCUGUCUCAGCUGUCUCCUUAGCUGCUCCGAGUUUCACCCGUUUCCCUGGCCUCGAGCUUCUUGCUCAGCUGCAGCAGCUGUUACCAAGACCAAUGCACAUGACCAGCCCAGCCUUGCCACCUGACCACUGUCUGUGGAUUGGAUGGCAGGGGUCUGCACCACUUCUGGUUCCCACACAGGGCCAAUGGAUGUCCGUCUGUAUCACACACUGGCCAGGAGUGGUGAUUGGAAGUCCAGGGUAUUACAGGAAACGAACAGCAAAUGAUUGUCCCCUAGAGUAGUGUCACUCUCUUACAAAGACCCCGCUCCCUACCUGCGCAUGACCUCACCUCCUGGGCACGCUGUGGCCAGCUGGUUUGUAGAGGAAUCUGAGAACGAAGAUGCAUGUGGAAGCCUCAGAGAGCUAUCUGGCGACCUGGUUUGUUUUCUAUUGAAGUGAUAAUCAUCAUGGAAAAAAACAACUUCGGUUCAUUUGGUUUACAUGUCCUGAUGAUUUGGCCAUUAAGGAAACCCAGGCAGGAACUCACGCAGGCCUGAAUUCCAGAUGCAGAGACCAUGGAGGAUUUCUGCUUACUGGUUUACUUUUCAUGGCUUGCCCAGAUUGCCUUUUUAUACAACCCAGGACCACAGGCCCAGGGAUGGCAUCACCUGCAGUGUGUUGUGCCCUCCCAUGUCAAUCACUAAGCAAUAACAACAACAGCAAAACAACAACAAUAAAAAAAUUGUCUACAGCCAAUCUAAGGGGCAUUUUCUCAAUUGAGGACUCUGGCUUGUGGCAAAUUAACAAACAACAGCAACAAACCAACUCACUCAUCUGGGUUCCCAUCCGGCACCCCAAACCCCACAGGCACUCCACCCAUGUCUCCACUGAACAAAGAGUACUCUUCCAACUCCUUAGGCUGGAAGACCCUGCCAGGAAAUUGCCAGUCAUCCUUUCCCAGCCUCUUCCCCUGCUCAUCAGUCCCAGACCAGACCAGAUCAGACCCACUCUCCCUUUGCCCAUCUCUGGAUGCUUCCUUCCGGAGCUCGGCUCUCUCCUAACUUCUCAACAUACCUUCCCAGGUCCAGCUUCAAGAGACUCUCCCAAGAGCCCUUCCCGGCAGUUGUCCCAACCUGAUUCAUUUCUUCUCUCCCACUUCCCAGCCCUGGACCUCUACUCUGUGGAGUCGAUGAGAAGGAUCAGUAGAGGAGGAGAGACAACAAUGAAGAGAAUCCAGGGUGGGUCCUGUAAAGUCAUUUGCUGGGAGAGAAGCACGCUGUUUGUGGUGGAAGCCUGGUGGAGGCAAAGCAGGGACAUAUAAUGGAUUUCAACAAUAUGAAGCAUUCCAGAAUAUUCUAGAAUGCUGAAAGGUAAA